UUGGAGGGCAAGUCUGGUGCCAGCAGCCGCGGUAAUUCCAGCUCCAAUAGCGUAUAUUAAAGUUGUUGCAGUUAAAAAGCUCGUAGUUGAAUUUCGAGACCGGUUUACUGGUCGUGCUUUUGUACGUACUGGUAUUAUUGGUUUCUCCUUUCUGACGAAUCAUAAUGCCAUUAAUUUGGUGUUUUGGGGAAUCAGGACUGUUACUUUGAAAAAAUUAGAGUGUUUAAAGCAGGCUCACGCUUGAAUACAUUAGCAUGGAAUAACGAAAUAGGACGUUUGAUUUUAUUUUGUUGGUUUCUAGGAUCGACGUAAUGAUUAAUAGGGAUAGUUGGGGGCAUUAGUAUUCAAUUGUCAGAGGUGAAAUUCUUGGAUUUAUUGAAGACUAACUACUGCGAAAGCAUUUGCCAAGGAUGUUUUCAUUAAUCAAGAACGAAAGUUAGGGGAUCGAAGACGAUCAGAUACCGUCGUAGUCUUAACCAUAAACUAUGCCGACCAGGGAUCGGAUGAUGUUAAUUUUUUAAUGACUCAUUCGGCGCCUUACGGGAAAC
RNAcentral lists this ribosomal RNA (548 nucleotides) under uncultured Glomus. Its description in RNAcentral is "SSU rRNA". It matches the Rfam family "Eukaryotic small subunit ribosomal RNA", at positions 548 to 1098 of the family's 1831-position model. Lineage: Eukaryota; Fungi; Glomeromycota; Glomeromycetes; Glomerales; Glomeraceae. The record is from RNAcentral.